Molecule: ribosomal RNA, 560 nt
Filed under: Salmonella enterica
Lineage: Bacteria; Pseudomonadati; Pseudomonadota; Gammaproteobacteria; Enterobacterales; Enterobacteriaceae
Also listed under: 2 other names
Description: bacterial SSU rRNA
Rfam family: Bacterial small subunit ribosomal RNA
Source: RNAcentral
CGAAGAACCUUACCUGGUCUUGACAUCCACAGAACUUUCCAGAGAUGGAUUGGUGCCUUCGGGAACUGUGAGACAGGUGCUGCAUGGCUGUCGUCAGCUCGUGUUGUGAAAUGUUGGGUUAAGUCCCGCAACGAGCGCAACCCUUAUCCUUUGUUGCCAGCGAUUAGGUCGGGAACUCAAAGGAGACUGCCAGUGAUAAACUGGAGGAAGGUGGGGAUGACGUCAAGUCAUCAUGGCCCUUACGACCAGGGCUACACACGUGCUACAAUGGCGCAUACAAAGAGAAGCGACCUCGCGAGAGCAAGCGGACCUCAUAAAGUGCGUCGUAGUCCGGAUUGGAGUCUGCAACUCGACUCCAUGAAGUCGGAAUCGCUAGUAAUCGUGGAUCAGAAUGCCACGGUGAAUACGUUCCCGGGCCUUGUACACACCGCCCGUCACACCAUGGGAGUGGGUUGCAAAAGAAGUAGGUAGCUUAACCUUCGGGAGGGCGCUUACCACUUUGUGAUUCAUGACUGGGGUGAAGUCGUAACAAGGUAACCGUAGGGGAACCUGCGGUUGGA